This 2103-nucleotide long non-coding RNA is filed under the name Cyanistes caeruleus (blue tit). Its description in RNAcentral is "lncRNA (ENSCCEG00000013542.1)". The record is from RNAcentral. Lineage: Eukaryota; Metazoa; Chordata; Aves; Passeriformes; Paridae.
AUGAAUGGUAUAUAGAUUCUGAAAUGCAAGACAUAUGCUGAACACCUAAUUGGGCUGCCAAUGGCUCAAAAAUAUUGUAAGUUAAAAAACUCAGGUAAUACAAAGCCUGCUGCCUGGGUAUUUCACAUUUACAAACAUGUGGUAUUCAGAAAAUAGAGCUUAUAUUGAUAUUUUAGCUAUUAGACUUGGUUACAUUAUGACAAAUCAGUAAUCUGUUUGAGAUCUUUUAAUGUAUUUUGGCUUUUAAAUCAGAAACUAUAACAUGCUCUGCAGUGUCUCUUUCAUUAUGAAGAAGAAAAAUAAUUCAAGGAUGAACCGAAAUUUUCAUUGAAGGCUUCUCCAUAUAAUCUUUGAAACUGAAAAUAAUUUUUAAAGCUCAAAAGUUGUCAGACAUUUGCAGAAAGAGAGGCCAGUUGUGACUGAAAAAAGCCCCCUGAAACAACCCACCAUAAAUUAGUAGGAAGAUAAGAGCCAGAUGAGAAUUUUAUGUAAUUUGUUGUCCUCAAAGUGUGGCCAGUUACAUCACUUAGGGAAAGAAUUUCCUCUAUUUGUCUCCUAUGCUUUUUCCAGGAUACUCCCACUUCAACGAGUCAGUGAAUGGUUUAGGGACUGACCCCUAAGCAUCUGCACAAAUAUGAGCUUUUUUUAAUAGCCAGUAAUGGAUUAUCUCACAGCUAAUGAUGCAAAUUUUUUUUUCAAGAAUUUCAGAGUCUGGCACCCCACAACAUUCUUCUGUGUUAGGUCUACACUUUCGCCAUGUGCUGUGUUAAGAAAUCUCAAGAUAGCAGAAAAAUAUUUUUCCUUCAGGAAAUGCAGCCAUUUGUUCAUUACCAGGCAAACAGGACUCCCCUUCCUUUGGGCCUUCUGCCAGAGUUAUUUACACACAGGCUUGUUCAAGCUAACCACCUUGGCUUCGUGCUCCUUCACACCAUUUGAUACUGUAUGAGAUUGGAGCUGUUGUGGAUAAAGAAGUGCUUCACUGUGACUCCUUUGUGUUCUGUGGAGGAGUCAUGGGCACACUCCCCUGUGAGGAAAGAUUACCCUUGUUUACGUAGGAGAGUAGACAAACAAGAUACAGCAGCCUGGAUUCAAGGAACACAUAGGAAGAGGUGUUGAGAGGGUGAGGUGGCAUGUCUUUUUCUCUUUUCUCAUACUUAAAGAUGGCACUUGAGCAAGAGGAAAGCAGUAUGUACAAAUGAGAAAGUGGAAUGCUGUGGCUGGAAAUACAUUUUAUGGUAUUAAAUGAUUAUAUAUGAAACUCAUAGCUGCUAGUUAUGUCUGAGAAGAGCUUGAGAUGGUCAGUAGAAGGUAGGUAUCUCUUAAAAGAAAGAAUCAGUUACCUGAAUUACUACUGCUUUUCAAAUGGAUUUUGUGAUGUAUUUGACAUCCAAAGUAAAGUCAGAGGCAAAUGCAGCCCUUUUAGUACUCUCUAAACUCUAAACUCUUCUGAUCCAUCUCAGUCUCCCUUCUCACCCUCCUUGCUGGCCCCAGAGCCCCUGGGUGUGCUCUCUCAGGCUCUCCAUGAGUCCCUGAGAGGGACUGGUGGCCAGGACCUUCACCCUCACAGGCUGUUCAUCACCCAGCACCUAGCUCAGGGCCCUUGAGCAGGUCUUCCUAAAGAGGAUAACAGAAGAGGGAAUAUACCCACCCCUUCCAGCAUUAGAAAGCCAGCCCUGAGUGUCUUGCAUAUUUUUCUACUGAGUGCAAAGAGCACUGAGUGUAAUGUGGGCAUUAGAAAAGCCAGUGGUGUGGGCAAGGGCAGCAAGAGACAUUACAGUCCAGGCAGCUGGAAAAAUGAGAGAAGGAACACAGGAGGAAGCUCCUGUAUAAAUAAGGACAAUGUGUUUUAAACAUCAUUGAUGGGAAACUACUAGUAUUUGUUUAUUUAUGAGAAAAGCCAUUCAUGGGCAGCUUCCCAUGGAUUUUCUAACUUAAUCAAACUUUAAGAAAGAGUAUCUAAACAGAAAAAUGACACCAUUCAUUUUAUUUUGCACUCCUACCCUCUGAGACUUUCAGAAAAUUGGAUACAUUUGGUCUGUUUUGCUUUACACUGCUCACAGUGAAAUCAAUAAAUAGGUAUCAAUGUCUUAUGUAAAGGAAUUG